UACGAGGGGGGCGAGCGUUGUUCGGAAUUAUUGGGCGUAAAGGGUGCGUAGGCGGUUCCGCAAGUCCUGUGUGAAAUCUUCGGGCUCAACUCGAAGUCUGCACGGGAAACUGCGGGGCUUGAGUGUGGGAGAGGUGAGUGGAAUUCCUGGUGUAGCAGUGAAAUGCGUAGAUAUCAGGAGGAACACCGGUGGCGAAGGCGGAUCUCUGGGCCGAUUACUGACGCUGAGGAGCGAAAGCGUGGGGAGCGAACAGG
Molecule: ribosomal RNA, 254 nt
Filed under: uncultured bacterium
Lineage: Bacteria
Description: partial 16S ribosomal RNA
Rfam family: Bacterial small subunit ribosomal RNA
Source: RNAcentral